Molecule: long non-coding RNA, 406 nt
Organism: Fundulus heteroclitus (mummichog)
Lineage: Eukaryota; Metazoa; Chordata; Actinopteri; Cyprinodontiformes; Fundulidae
Exons: 3
Source: RefSeq, a predicted model, not a curated record
UUCCUUGGCAGAGAUUUGGAGGAUCUAAUCAGGAGCCUUCUCAGACGCUUCAUAAAGCGAGACGUCCAGGUUGAUGUUUCCCCAGUAAAGCUGGUCAAGCUUGAUGUGACAGACCAAAAGCUUUGGGUCAGUCCAAAGCAAGUGGACAUUGGCAUGGGAGCCACAGCUGCCCUCAAGGUGGGAAUGUCAGGCAGUCAGAGUGGUGGAAGUGAGCGUGAGUUGUUGCUGUUCAUGCGAGACAGCCAGAGUGCCCUGUCAAAAAUUUGUCAGAACAUUUUAUUGAAGUGUCCCCUGAAGUACCCCUCUGUCCGAAAUAUGAUGUGCCUGGACCCCCAAAAGAUGCACAAAGAACCUGACAUGUGCCUGCAAAAAAUGAAGGACCUCAUCAUGAAAUUUGUUCAGGAUA